UUUAAUAAUUAUUUAUUAAUUUAUUUUAAUUUAUUUAUUUAUUAUAUUAAAAAUAAUUUUAUUUUUAUUUAUAUAAGUAAUUUAUAUUGAAAUUAUAAUAUUUAUGAUAGUUUAUUAGUAUCGUGAGAGAAAAUUUAAAUAUUUUGAAAAAUUUUUAUGAUUUAAGUAAAUUUAAUUUAUUGUACCUUGUGUAUCAGGGUUUAUUAAUUAAUUAAUAUAUUUAUAUUGUUCUCGAAUUUAAAAGAGUUAAUGAAUUAUAAAAGUUAAUGUGAUAAAAUUAUUUUAUAUAAUUUAUUAGUAAUGAAAAGUUAUUCGUUUUUAAAUAUAUCUAGUUUUUUAAGAAAUAAAUUUAAUUUAUAAUUUUAAAAUGUAUUAAUUUAUUUAAUUAAUUUAAUAUAGUUAAAAUUAAAUAUUUUAGGGGAUAAGCUUUAAAAUAAAUUUUUAUAAGAUUAUUAAUAUUUAUAUAAAUAUAUGUUUAGAAUUAGCAAUUAUUAAUAAUUUUGUUAUAAAUUAUUUAUUUUAAUAUAUUAUUUAUUAAUCUUUAAUUAUUUAUUAAAAUUAUCAUUUAAAUUAAUAAAAUGAUGAAAUUAUGAUAAAAUUAGUAUAUUUUUUUGUAUUUUUAAAUAUUUAAUAUGAUAAGUUUAUGUAAAGAAUUCGGCAAAAUUAAAUGUUCGCCUGUUUAACAAAAACAUGUCUUUUUGAUUAUAUAAAAAGUCUGACCUGCCCAUUGAUAUUUAUUUAACGGCCGCAGUAUAUUAACUGUGCAAAGGUAGCAUAAUCAUUAGUCUUUUAAUUGAAGGCUGGAAUGAAUGGUUGGACGAAAUAUUAACUGUUUCAUAUGAAUUUAUUAUAAAAUUUAAUUUUUUAGUCAAAAAGCUAAAAUUUUUUUAAAAGACGAGAAGACCCUAUAAAUCUUUAUAUAAUUUAAAUUAUUAAUUUUUUAAAUAAUUUUUAUUAUUAAUUUAAAUUAUAUUAUAUUGGGGUGAUAGUAAAAUUUAAAAAACUUUUAUUAAUAUAUAAACAUUUAUUAAUGAAUUUUUGAUCCAAUAGUAUUGAUUAUAAAUUUAAGUUACUUUAGGGAUAACAGCGUAAUAUUUUUGGAGAGUUCUUAUUGAUAAAAAUGAUUGCGACCUCGAUGUUGGAUUAAGGUAUAAUUUUAGGUGUAGAAGUUUAAAUUUUAAGUCUGUUCGACUUUUAAAUCCUUACAUGAUCUGAGUUCAAACCGGUGUGAGCCAGGUUGGUUUCUAUCUUUAAUUAAUUAAAAUAUUUUAGUACGAAAGGACCAAAUAUUUAAAUUUUUAAAUUUUUCAAAUUUGAAUUUUAAUAAAUUAUAG
This 1334-nucleotide ribosomal RNA is filed under the name Thaumatomyia glabra. RNAcentral describes it as "16S ribosomal RNA". The record is from RNAcentral. Lineage: Eukaryota; Metazoa; Arthropoda; Insecta; Diptera; Chloropidae.